RNAcentral lists this small RNA (108 nucleotides) under Anaerosporomusa subterranea. Its description in RNAcentral is "Anaerosporomusa subterraneum Guanidine-I sequence". It matches the Rfam family "Guanidine-I riboswitch aptamer". Rfam says of the family: This family represents a conserved RNA structure found upstream of the ykkC and yxkD genes in Bacillus subtilis and related genes in other bacteria. The function of this family is unclear although it has been suggested that it may function to switch on efflux pumps and detoxification systems in response to harmful environmental molecules. The record is from Rfam by way of RNAcentral. Lineage: Bacteria; Bacillati; Bacillota; Negativicutes; Acetonemataceae.
UGAAAGUGAAUCUAGGGUUCCGCGGAGUUUUCCGGUCUGGUCCGAGCGAUUCGCAUGGUUUUUGUUUACCCUAAACCAUGACACCGUAGGGAGAAAAGCCCAGACGGA